This 443-nucleotide ribosomal RNA is filed under the name uncultured bacterium. RNAcentral describes it as "bacterial SSU rRNA". It matches the Rfam family "Bacterial small subunit ribosomal RNA", at positions 29 to 517 of the family's 1533-position model. The record is from RNAcentral.
AACGAACGCUGGCGGCAUGCCUAACACAUGCAAGUCGAACGAGACCUUCGGGUCUAGUGGCGCACGGGUGCGUAACGCGUGGGAAUCUACCCUUGGGUUCGGAAUAACUCAGAGAAAUUUGAGCUAAUACCGGAUGAUGUCGCAAGACCAAAGAUUUAUCGCCCAAGGAUGAGCCCGCGUAGGAUUAGCUUGUUGGUGAGGUAAAAGCUCACCAAGGCGACGAUCCUUAGCUGGUCUGAGAGGAUGAUCAGCCACACUGGGACUGAGACACGGCCCAGACUCCUACGGGAGGCAGCAGUGGGGAAUAUUGGGCAAUGGGCGCAAGCCUGAUCCAGCAAUGCCGCGUGGAUGAUGAAGGCCUUAGGGUUGUAAAGUCCUUUCGGCGGGGACGAUGAUGACGGUACCCGGAGAAUAAGUCCCGGCUAACUUCGUGCCAGCAGCCG